CAUAAUACAGAAAAUGAUGUGAUUGCACUUUUCCGUAAAAUAGUAUCGAAAUUUAUUAAAGAUGGACGGAGAAAGCACAAAAAUUCGUAGAACACCUCAGCAGUUUUUAUUCGUACAAAAGGUGACUGGGAAGUGUGAAGACGUUCAGCGGAUUUGGGCCAGCUAUGCAACAAAAAGUCGGUAACUAAAGAGAGAGGAGCACUGGAUUCUUUUUUUGUAUUUAGCUUUUCAUUUUGCAGCUUAUGAAAAGCUGUUAAAGCUACCAUUUGUAUAGCAGAAGAAGUUUCAGAAUUAGCAAG
This is a non-coding RNA of Schizosaccharomyces pombe (fission yeast), 299 nucleotides long. The record is from the annotation of a GenBank genome assembly. NCBI's taxonomy places the organism in Eukaryota, Fungi, Ascomycota, Schizosaccharomycetes, Schizosaccharomycetales, Schizosaccharomycetaceae.